CAUUGAGAUUCUAAACAAAGUUGUACUCAACCCAAUAAUUGCAACUCACUGCCCCUUCUGCCCCUCCUUUCAGGAGCAACAGUAAUUUUGAAUCGUUUUUUGUACAACCCUAUGUUCAUCUACUCCUCAGCCUAGCCUUACUACUGUGAACAUGAGAGAGAGAGAGAGAGAGAGAGAGAGAGAGGAUUGAGAUCCAGAGAGAGAGAGAGAGAGAGAGAGGUUCAGGCUCAGAGGGCUGUGAAACAGAGCCACAGAGUACCCCACUGUGACCUGCCAGGCCGCCCUAUAUUUCUACCACCUGUGAUACCUAAUACUCUCCCCACUAUACAUCUAUUGCCAAUAGCUGCUUCUUAGCUGUUUUUUCUUUCUUCUUUCUUGGCUUGGCCAAACAUAUAAUGAUGCUUUCUUUAUUUCACUGUUUCACGAGAGAGAUGCGGUUCAAUCAAGAACAAGAGGUAACCGAAAGUAUUUUUUUAGAUAAAAGUAUAGAAGAGGAAAAGAAUAUAUGACUUACUCUAACUAGUUUGUAGAUAAGACUUCGUUGUUGCAAUGAUGCGGUGAAAUGGAGUUUCAUAAUCAUUAGUAGUUGUGGGAUGUUUUUUCAAGUCAAUUAAGCUUCAUUUUGCAAAUUGAACUUGGGCAUUUCCUGUUGUUCCCUAACAAAAGUUGUUUCAUGUUACAUACAUAAUGCUUAAUUUUGGUUGAGAUCUGUGGAGUUUACAGUGCAUCUUUCACCAUUGAGAUGUUAUAAUUGUUUAAAUUUUUCCACAUUAUAUCAAUAAAGAAAGUCUAGGGACUUUUUUUUU
Long non-coding RNA from Quercus robur (English oak), 806 nucleotides. RefSeq lists it as uncharacterized. The transcript is spliced from 2 exons. The record is from RefSeq and is a predicted model, not a curated record. NCBI's taxonomy places the organism in Eukaryota, Viridiplantae, Streptophyta, Magnoliopsida, Fagales, Fagaceae.